CGCCUACCAGCUAGCUCACCCCCUAAAAACCAACAACUGACUAUUAAUACCCCCUAAUAAACUAAUUCAUAAAGAUUAAAACAUUUUUCCCCCUGAGUAUGGGCGACAGAAAAGGACCCUCGAAGCAAUAGUAGUAGUACCGCAAGGGAACGCUGAAAGAGAAAUGAAACAAACCAGUAAAGCACAAAGAAGCAGAGCUUAUCCCUCGUACCUUUUGCAUCAUGAUUUAGCAAGAAGAAGCCGAGCAAAAAGAAUUUUAGUGCGGCACCCCGAAACCCGGUGAGCUACUCCAAGGCAGCCUUAUAGGGCGAACCCGUCUCUGUGGCAAAAGAGUGGGAUGAACUUUGAGUAGAGGUGAUAGACCUACCGAACCUGGUUAUAGCUGGUUGUUCAGAAAAUGAAUAGAAGUUCAGCCUUUUAUCCUCUCCCCCCACACUUAUGCUUAAGAACAAAAGAGGUUAAAAGAGUUAGUCAAAGGGGGUACAGCCCCUUUGAAAAGAACACAACCUUCCCAGAAGGGUUAAGAUCAUAACAUAUUAGGAAUGUGUGUUCUAGUUGGCCUAAAAGCAGCCACCACUGAAGAAAGCGUUAAAGCUCAUACACCAAUCCUUCCACUUAUACGGACCAAAACCUCUUAUCCCCCUACAAAUACUGAACCUUUCCAUACCCCCUUAUGGAAGAGAUUAUGCUAAUAUGAGUAAUAAGAGACUUAGAAUCUCUCCCCGCACAAGUGUACCUCGGAACGAACUAAUCGCCGACAACUAACGGCCCCAAACUAGAGGGAAAUAAAAGAUAAUGACCAAUUCACAAGAAAAGCAUCUAACCUCAACCGUUAACCUUACACCAGUGUGCCCCUAGAGGAAAGACUAAAAGAGAAAGAAGGAACUCGGCA
RNAcentral lists this ribosomal RNA (892 nucleotides) under Vincentia novaehollandiae (eastern gobbleguts). Its description in RNAcentral is "partial 16S ribosomal RNA". The stretch from base 190 to 892 matches the Rfam family "Bacterial large subunit ribosomal RNA", at positions 568 to 1719 of the family's 2925-position model. Lineage: Eukaryota; Metazoa; Chordata; Actinopteri; Kurtiformes; Apogonidae. The record is from RNAcentral.